CUAGUGGCGGACGGGUGAGUAACGCGUGGGUAACCUGCCUCAUACAGGGGGAUAACAGUUAGAAAUGACUGCUAAGACCGCAUAAUAUAGCGAAACCGCAUGAUUUUGCUAUCAAAUAUUUAUAGGUAUGAAGAUGGGCCCGCGUCUGAUUAGCUAGUUGGUGGGUAAAAGCCUACCAAGGCGACGAUCAGUAGCCGGCUUGAGAGAGUGACCGGCCACAUGGGACUGAGACACGGCCCAAACUCCUACGGGAGGCAGCAGUGGGGAAUAUUGGACAAUGGGGGAAACCCUGAUCCAGCCGACGCCGCGUGAGUGAAGAAGUAUUUCGGUAUGUAAAGCUCUAUCAGCAGGGAAGAUAAUGACAGUACCUGACUAAGAAGCCCCGGCUAACUACGUGCCAGCCGCCGC
Molecule: ribosomal RNA, 408 nt
Filed under: uncultured bacterium
Lineage: Bacteria
Description: bacterial SSU rRNA
Rfam family: Bacterial small subunit ribosomal RNA
Source: RNAcentral